Molecule: ribosomal RNA, 253 nt
Filed under: uncultured bacterium
Lineage: Bacteria
Description: partial 16S ribosomal RNA
Rfam family: Bacterial small subunit ribosomal RNA
Source: RNAcentral
UACGGGGGGGGCAAGCGUUGUUCGGAAUUACUGGGCGUAAAGGGCUCGUAGGCGGCCAACUAAGUCGGACGUGAAAUCCCCAGGCUCAACCUGGGAACUGCGUCCGAUACUGGAUGGCUUGAAUCCGGGAGAGGGAUGUGGAAUUCCAGGUGUAGCGGUGAAAUGCGUAGAUAUCUGGAGGAACACCGGUGGCGAAGGCGGCAUCCUGGACCGGUAUUGACGCUGAGGCGCGAAAGCCAGGGGAGCAAACGGG